Molecule: ribosomal RNA, 578 nt
Filed under: uncultured bacterium
Lineage: Bacteria
Description: bacterial SSU rRNA
Rfam family: Bacterial small subunit ribosomal RNA
Source: RNAcentral
CCUACGGGAGGCAGCAGUAAGGAAUAUUGGACAAUGGCCGCAAGGCUGAUCCAGCCAUGCCGCGUGCAGGAUGAAGGUGCUCUGCAUUGUAAACUGCUUUUGUUCGGGAAUAAACCCUUUCACGUGUGAGAGGUUGAAUGUACCGAAAGAAUAAGGGACGGCUAACUUCGUGCCAGCAGCCGCGUUAAUACGAAGGUCCCAAGCGUUAUCCGGAUUUAUUGGGUUUAAAGGGUGCGUAGGCGGGUUAUUAAGUCAGUGGUGAAAGCUCCCAGCUCAACUGGGAAACUGCCAUUGAUACUGAUAGUCUUGAGUAUGAUUGAAGUGGGGCGGAAUGUGUCAUGUAGCGGUGAAAUGCUUAGAUAUGACACAGAACACCGAUUGCGAAGGCAGCUCACUAAGCCAUAACUGACGCUGAUGCACGAAAGCGUGGGGAGCAAACAGGAUUAGAUACCCUGGUAGUCCACGCCCUAAACGAUGAUCACUCGAUGUGUGCGAUAACUGUACGCGUCCAAGCGAAAGCAUUAAGUGAUCCACCUGGGGAGUACGACCGCAAGGUUGAAACUCAAAGGAAUUGACGG